UUCACAGCAUCCCUGUAACCUGCCAUACAGGCCUAGAGGCUUUAGCAUGCACUGAAUGAAUGAGCAUGUCCGGGCUAAUGGAAAGAGCAGCCAGGCUUGUGGCUAUAGCUGCAAUUACUAGCACAAGCUGAACAAAGAUAUUUCAAACAGUUUCCCCAAGCAUCUGAAGUGUACAGUUAGCCUAUACAUCUGUCGUAGCCUCCCUGAGGAUUAGCCACAGGUGGGGCAAGACCCCUGUCACAGCUUCUUCCUGUUUCCUUGGGAACAGUAUCUAUGGCAACAGCUUUUUUCGAGUCCUGAGAACACCAAUGUAACCUGACGGCCACAACAAUUAGCGAUAGAGCAAUACAUCAAUCAUGUUGCCCGCAGCGUGAAUGCACAGUAAGAAGCCAUCAUCAACGACAACUGGAGCCACAUCAUUAGCAUAUGCCAGUCACCCUCUGCAGCCAGUGUGUGUGCAGCCAGCCACCAGAACAGAAAGAACAACACACAGACAUUCAAAUGUCAGCCAGUGAAUGCCAGCUCUAUUAAUAUUUCAGGACCAAUUAAAUAAAAGCACACAUCAUGCAUGUUUAAUGUCCGACUGCUGAGAGAGCCAACUUUGCCCUCAUAUCCUCUACAGGUAGGCCGGGCUAAUGAUUGAGAGCUUAGCAUACAAAGGCUGUCUUUACGUUUUACCAAAUUAUUUGCUCCCUCUCUAGCACAGGCUGUGGUUGUGCCACAGACUGACCCAAGACCUAUUUUGGGUUCCAGCUCAACAGGCUCCAGACAGUCUGAUCCUGUUGGCACAGAUACCCAACAACAAUGCAGUUAUGUAUAUAUGGCCAUAAUACAGACUUAAGGCUUCAUCCCUACUGAUUUUAGCAGUGAGCGAAAUAACGUUAGAACCUAAUGUUGUGAUAUUUGACUUUGAUGCCCAGUCUUAUCAUUAAUUAAGUACCUUGGAGAUACAGAACUAUUGAGAUAUACAUUGUCAUUGUGUGUCAUUUUAUGAACUAAAAAUAUCAUGAUAAAUACAAUUUUAUGGCCAUAUUACCCAGCCCUAACAAACAUGUUUUGGUGGCCAACCAAAGUCUUAACAUAUUUGUUUCCCUUUGUUGCCCUGUCACAUUGUAUAAGCUCUUUUAACAUGACUCUCAAUAAAACUGUAAUAACUCUCAGCUUUGUGUUGUCAACAGCCGUAAAGGGACGCUGGUGCAGCUAUAAGCACUGUAAACCAGAGGCCAUACAGAUCUAUACUGCGGUCUAUUCUACUGGUUUCUAUCCAUUUUGGCUCCUCCCCAGCACUUCCAUUAGAUCCCUUCAGAUUCUGUUUUCAUCAUUUGCACCAUCUGCCACUGAGACCUCCGGCACUUAAGCUUCAUUUGAGCAGAAAACAGUGUCCUAUUAAGAUCUUGGACAAUCUGCAAAAACUGUCUAAAAAAAACAACCAGAAGAGAACGAACAGGGAACAGAAAAAAGGAACUGCAUGCUCAUGUAACCUGAACUUCAGAGACGACAAACGACUGAAAACCAACAUCGUCACAAAUGAACAGAGCUAUGACGGCAUGCGACGGGCUCAGAGGCGG
Acanthopagrus latus (yellowfin seabream) is the source of this 1568-nucleotide long non-coding RNA. RefSeq lists it as uncharacterized. The transcript has 5 exons. The record is from RefSeq and is a predicted model, not a curated record. Lineage: Eukaryota; Metazoa; Chordata; Actinopteri; Spariformes; Sparidae.